AGAGAGAGAGAGAGAGAGAGAAGAGCGUUUGCAGCAGUGUUUUGUGUAAAGUCUUGGUCGUGUGCAUCAGAGGGUGUCCAGGAAAAGAAGCACACACUCCGGAAAAAAAGUCUGGUUGGGUUUCACUGAGGAACCGGAGUCGUUGCUAUGGACACAGGGUCAGUAUUGUCCAGCAAACAGUCUCUUCUCCCGAAGCUACGUGCAGCAACACCAUCAAAAGUACAGAGCUGGCAGCGCCCCUCCUCUCAGGGAGUCAGUAGGGGGGGAUCUGGUUUCGAUUCUUUUUCAGAACUUGAGUCCGUAACCCGUGUGCGCACUGCCAUUGGUCAGGCCGGGUUAUAGGACUGGGUCGGGAGUCGCAAAAAUCUUUACCAACAAAGGGGACGCUAGAAAUUGUGUCGGACAUUUUAUACUUGUGUGUUGGGGUGACUUCGCCCUUCUGUGUCCGGCGGUGGCAGCCAAAAACACUCUAAAUAUUGUUGAUUUCCACUCCGCUGUUUUCUAUCAAAGAAUUUGCCUGGAAAGAGGAAAAGAUGAUCAUCGUCCCUGCGUCUGUUAUUGGUCCUGACUUCUCUCACUUGCCGGACGUGAGUUGUGUUAAGGGUCGGCCAGAAAAGGAUUGAGGAAAUAACAGUCUUUCGGCGCAGCAGAAGUAGGAGUGUGAAAGUGCUAAAACUCCUCCAACAGGCAUUGUGUUGACGCGUUGCCUUUAGUUGAGCCCCGGCCUCUGAAUGCGUUAGAUGUAUGCACAUAUGUUAACAGUAUGGAAAGACGCGUCUAGAAAUUGUUUCCUUUUCGGGAAUUUACAGUAAUUAAAGCAUACUAAAAGCCUGAAGUCCUGAGGAGAAAACUACCGUUAGCUAUUUUUUUUUUAUCAUGGUUGACGUAUCCUGUUUCAGAAACAAUGUAAUCGGAUGGAGUGGUAUAUAGACCUGCACAUGGAGGAAAGUAUGUUGAUAGUGUAUGUGUGAGUAGCCUGCGAUUGUCUUCCCUUAGUGUACUGUUGAUGUUUCUUUUGGCUGAAAUCUGACUUCAUAUUUCAGAAACUAAUGAAAGACAGACUACUGACUCUUGUUAAGGAGGUUCCCGUCAGCUGAAAUAAUCGUGGCGGUGCGGCGGCCAUAGAUCAGUGGGUGGGAGUGAGCGGUCGUCGGUAACAGGCUGGGGGCUUGGCUCAUCUGAUAUAUUUAUUUUGAUCCCGUCUCCUCCGUCUUCAGCGCGGCCACGCCCCUCCUCCAGAAUCUUCGUUCAGGGACGUUUCGUGUGCGUUCGUUAAGCGUGGGAAGUCCUGACACGCCACAGAGGCUGCCGGGACUCCGGGGCGGUGUGCCCUACACAGACAAAGGUUGCUUCAGGGCAGUGCGUCAUGGGGCAGUCAUUUCCCCAAGUGCUGUCAUCAACAUUAUUUGUUUUUGUGUGUCCAGGGCGAGUGAAUUAUCGGCUGAUUCCACAUCAUUAUUGGCGCGGCAAGACAUUUUAUGGAAUGUAUAUAUAAGGAAAUAUUUGUUGCGUUUACUUCAUGCAUAUACUGACGCAAAACCUUUGUUUACAAAACAUGGCUUGGACACAUAUUGCUCACACAUCGUGGGAUCGUGAAGAGGGCUCCUCUGAGUGUCAGCGGAGGAUACGUCACCGGAGUCGUGUGAUCUCAUUGCUCGGGUCCACAGUAGCAUCCAAAGUUGCUGUUUUAGUUUUUAUUCGUUGGGGUUUGUCGGAUACCAUCAUCAGGAAGCUUAUGUUCUUCCACUCUUCCCAGCAGCGUUGGGUUCUUGGCGCGCGGCGGAUGGGACAGAUGAGACGAGGGGGAGUCUGUGAAGGGACCAGAAGACUGGGGGGAGGUUAAGAGAAGGGACGUAGACUCACACGAACACUACCGUGGAAGGAAGAAAAAUCUCUCGGCCAUCAAGGGGGGAAAGAAAUAGGGUGGGACAAGGGAGAGCGUGGGUCGCGCGAGGUCAUCCAGCGGGUGACGCAUGGGGCGGCGCGACGCACACUGACACUCUGAUCCACCGGACGAUUAUUUCGGGGACGCGGCUAAGGGGCCCGCUUACCCCUCCCCACAAGGGCGAGGAAAUAGGGACGGAACGGAGAUUACGGCUACAAAUGGAAGGAAAAAGAGGGCGUGGAAGAGACUAGAGGCAGACAAGAAACUCCCGUAAGAGAUAAUGGGGUUUGCCACGGAGGGAGGGUGGCGGAGGGAGGGUCCUCGGAGGCCUGUUUCCUUUUGUCCUGUUGUCAACGCUAGAUAUGUGUAUGUCGAGUCGAGGUUCUCUUCUCUGAUUGUGUUUAUCUGCCUCAUGAUAACCAUGUGUGCGCUUUUAAUAGUAUCACAAAUGUUCGUGUACGUUGCGCUGCUGUGCUCGGACAGACCAACAGCUGUACUUAGGCGGGAAGAGGAAUCGCCUAGCGCCUGUGGAGUCGCCUCGCGUUGUAAAUGAUCAGCACAUAAACGGGGCGACAACAGUUCCGGCGUGGUGAAUGCCGGCAAUCUACGGCAGAAAAAAUGCCGGCCGACCCGAGUAAACGACUUCAUAAGUUAAAACAUCAGCCAGCCAGACGAGUCAUUCCCGCCAAAAAUUGAGUAAAUAAGAGGCGUCGUUACGAUAGGCCCAUAAAUUGUAGUGUGUCGCGGUAAAAAAGUACCCGCCAUUACGGCUGACACAGGAUGACCGGGGCAUCAUUUUCCUUCGCCUUCCUCCCACCGUCGGGACAAAUUUCACUGAAUUUCGUUUCGUUUUAUUGUGGAAUCUCAUUGUAAGACUCAGCGAGGAGAUGCGCCUUGCUUGUGGGUUGCUGAUGAUGAGUUGCAGUCAUGUGCUACGUUAGCGUGCCAAGAGGAGUGGCGACAGGCACAGGGGGGAGGGACGGCCAAAGAGCCUCGUCGGGAAGGGUCCUGGACGCUCCUCCUUGACCACCACUGCUGCUCCUCACGUCCUGGCCCCCCGGCACAUGUGUGUUUAUGAGCUUCAGCUCGCAGACACAAUGCCACGCAAUGUUAUAAAGACACCUGACACGUUGUAUAUUAUAUGAGCACUCAAAAUGUUUUAUUUGAGAUUUUUAUUAAACUGAGAUGAUUGAAUUCUUUACGCAAAGUAUUACAUAACUACGAUGCUUUCUGGUUUAUUACCGUACUUGCGUGCAUGUGUUUAUUUGUGUGCGUGUGUGUGGAUCCCCUGUCCACCGCACACCGAGGGGGUUCAAACAGUGCCAUCUGUCCCGGCCUGGGAUGUGUCCCUCGAGACAGGCCGCGCCCCGCCUCUCUCUUAGCUCGUCAGACAGACGGCCACGAACACAGCCUUGUGGGUGGAGAGCCAGAUGCCACGAACACGGGGUGACGAACUUCCAAGGCUUGAGAGGGUCCGACAAUUAGUAUAUUAUUUGACACAAACAUGUCUAAAAAAAUUGAAAUAGAAUAUACGCCUCAGAUAAACUACAAUUUAUCCAUGCGUUUCCUUAUUUACGCGAACAAUUCUAACAACUGUAACAGAUCACCGUUCACUGUAAAGGUUUUGGGAAGUGUGCACAGACGAGGGUUUGACGGAGGGGCAACAUUGGUGAUAUUGAUGUUGUUAUUCGUAAUGUAAAAGCAAACCAUACUUAAUAUAUGCUUCAUGUGUACAAGAUAUAGCUUUAGGUUCAGAGUGAAUAUGGGUCGGAACUGAUUUAUGAACAGAGUAUGUGGAUGAGUGAAACAUAUAAAUUGUGCUGUUACGGAAGUGGAAGUAAAACAUAGAUUGACACUAGAUGAGAAGGAUCGUGGGCGGGAAAAAGGUUUGCAAGAGUUGCCGUGUGUGGCAGCCAACCGGCCUCUUCUAGAGUUUUAUUUCUUUGUGAAUUCUUAUGUAUGGAAAUACCAGGCUUGAAACCGUCGAUUCACCUGUAAUUUUGGUCUUUUAAUCUUGUUUACAGCACAAUUAUCAUAGUAUAAGUUAUGUUAAGUAAGGAAAGAAGAAUACGCUAAAUUAAUAUUACUUGACCCUUUGUGGAAUCUCAGUUAUUAAUUAAGGCUUCCGAACCAAGAAUGAAGGAAGAGUGACUCAGACAGCCGAGUGGCGUGCCCCUGAAGUGCUCCCCUCGGUAAUUCGUCUCCAAACCUUCCCUAUUGAUUCUUUGUGACCGACGAGCUACACAGAGACAAAGACUUCUUUAGACAUAGUUCAUCAUAACAUCAGAAGCUGUGAUGGAUCAGUACUGAACUCCGUCUGAAUUAGUCCAUCAUGAUUUCAGAGUUUAAGAUGGACCAUCUCCCGCUGCUGUAUAAUGACAGGUUCUUUGCAAUAAGUAGAUCGUAUAAAGAAAGACUUAUGAGACAAGUGGAUGCAUGAAAUGAGAUCAAGAGUAUCAGCUGUAUUUUUUUUAUAAAUGCUGCAAUCGACUACCAACAACUGUGAUGCUCAUCGUAACUUGAACCAAUUAAUUUUGUUUCAUGUUUUUCCUUAUGGUAAAGCUUUAAACAUACACAUAUACAUGAUGAAUACCGUAGCUUGCGAGUCCAUUUUUUCUUAGCCUUUUAUUCCAAAUGUUAAAACUUCAAAACGGUAUUUUGUUGCAAUCAUGGAGGUAAAUGUUGGCAAGUGAUGGUGAACACGCUGGCUGCCUCCCCCACACACCCCGCCUCGCCACCCGCCGCCGCCCGGCCCACAACGCGCCACUAAAUCUCUGAACUCUUAAUUUAUGGAGUGGGCAACAUUACUGAUAAAUGGCUGAUGGUUAUAAUUAGAAUUAAUAACUCGAGCACGGCUGGACGCGAUAAUAGAGACCCGCACCACUUAGAUCGACCCACCUGUUGACCUCCAGCGGGGCCUGACCCUACGCCGCCACCACCACCAGCACCACCACUACCAUCCCCUCCCACCGCCACCACUACCACCCUUUUACCACCACUACCAUCACCACCAGUACAGCCUCAACCAGUAUCACUAUCACCACCACCACUAUCAUUAAUACCUCCACUGCUACCACCAUUACCACUACCACCAUCAGUGCCCUCUCAUUCCCCACCACCACUAGUGCCUCCACCUCCACCACCGUCCCUUGGCCUGAUCCUUUGCCUGUCACCACUAUCACCCAGCGGAUGGAAGGAGGAAAAGAGAAAAAAAUCGAAAAGAUGCACCAAGACAACACUUUAGGAUGAUUUUAGUGGAAGGAGAAAGUUGGAGCAAAGAUUCACGGCGUCCGUGAGAUUGCGAGUGCUACUUGUUUAUGUGCAUUUUUGUACCUUGUGGCGGGCCUCAAAGAAAAAUAAUAUAUAAAGUGGAAAGAAGGCGUACAAACAAAUAAUAAUGUAUGCAGACCACACCAUUUCAAGCCUCUUACUUGGCGGCUCGUGGGUCAGUGUUUGUUCCUUUAACUAGCAAUUUGUUAUUAAAUAUUUAAGCUUGUCAUGUUGAGUAUUAGAGCCUCACAAAUAGGAUGUACGUGCUAAAUACUCGCCUUGAAUAUGCAUGUGGCUGUAUGUUUAGGAAGCAGCUCAGCACGAGUGUCUGAGAUAAAUUGUCACGUAAAACUGAACAUUCAUCAUAAAGUGUCGGGGCGGAGGAGCCUGAACUCCCUGCAGCUGAACUCCGCAUUAAGUCCAUCUAAGUAAACACUUGUAAUUACUGCGGCUCUGACAGUUAUGAGUGUGUAUAACCCUCGGAGAACAUCAGGUCUGUCCCGGCGGUCAAGGGGGUGAAGCAGAGCACGACGAAGCACCACUAAAAGAAGCUCAUCCAUAAGGGGCGGGUUGAGGGGUCCGCCGCGGUGGCUGGCCCUCAGGUUUACUGCCGUGCCCGACGACUGCACCUUCCGCGCCCCGCCACCGCCGCCGCCGGGCAGAAUAGUCGUACCCUUCCUCCCCUUCACCAGCUCCGGGAGAUGGCCAUUUUGAAUGCAGGAAGGGACCUCUUGCAUGUCUGGUCCUCCGGACGCUCGGCGUGCUGGGAAAUGCUACAGUGAUGGAGUUACCUGCUGUCGACCCAAACAGAACAAGAAGGACGCCCAGGAUGUUCGAAACAGUCGGUGGGCGACAGGAGGGUUAAAUGAACAGCUAAAGAGUGAGAGACAGGCAACGAGCGGCAACUCACCAGCGGAAACCACCCCCAGCCGCAUCACGGCACAGCUGUAAUUAACAACGACGACGACAACAACACCCUUACCUGCUGAAAAACUUUCGCCACUGCCCAUCGAGACCUGUCUUUUCUUCCUGU
This is a long non-coding RNA of Eriocheir sinensis (Chinese mitten crab), 6188 nucleotides long. RefSeq lists it as uncharacterized. The transcript is spliced from 4 exons. The record is from RefSeq and is a predicted model, not a curated record. NCBI's taxonomy places the organism in Eukaryota, Metazoa, Arthropoda, Malacostraca, Decapoda, Varunidae.